This 460-nucleotide ribosomal RNA is filed under the name uncultured bacterium. RNAcentral describes it as "partial 16S ribosomal RNA". It matches the Rfam family "Bacterial small subunit ribosomal RNA", at positions 338 to 795 of the family's 1533-position model. The record is from RNAcentral.
CCUACGGGUGGCAGCAGUGAGGAAUAUUGGUCAAUGGACGAGAGUCUGAACCAGCCAAGUAGCGUGAAGGAUGACUGCCCUAUGGGUUGUAAACUUCUUUUAUAUGGGAAUAAAAUGUUCCACGUGUGGGAUUUUGUAUGUACCAUAUGAAUAAGGAUCGGCUAACUCCGUGCCAGCAGCCGCGGUAAUACGGAGGAUCCGAGCGUUAUCCGGAUUUAUUGGGUUUAAAGGGAGAGUAGAUGGAUUGUUAAGUCAGUUGUGAAAGUUUGCGGCUCAACCGUAAAAUUGCAGUUGAAACUGGCAGUCUUGAGUACAGUAGAGGUGGGCGGAAUUCGUGGUGUAGCGGUGAAAUGCUUAGAUAUCACGAAGAACUCCGAUUGCGAAGGCAGUUCACUGGACUGCAACUGACACUGAGGCUCGAAAGUGUGGGUAUCAAACAGGAUUAGAUACCCGGGUAGGC